UACGAAGGGGGCUAGCGUUGCUCGGAAUCACUGGGCGUAAAGGGUGCGUAGGCGGGUUUUUAAGUCAGGGGUGAAAUCCUGGAGCUCAACUCCAGAACUGCCUUUGAUACUGAAGAUCUUGAGUCCGGGAGAGGUGAGUGGAACUGCGAGUGUAGAGGUGAAAUUCGUAGAUAUUCGCAAGAACACCAGUGGCGAAGGCGGCUCACUGGCCCGGAACUGACGCUGAGGCACGAAAGCGUGGGGAGCAAACAGG
RNAcentral lists this ribosomal RNA (253 nucleotides) under uncultured bacterium. RNAcentral describes it as "partial 16S ribosomal RNA". It matches the Rfam family "Bacterial small subunit ribosomal RNA", at positions 524 to 776 of the family's 1533-position model. The record is from RNAcentral.